GCGGCGGAAGCGGGUCGGGGUGCUCCGCUCUCCUCUUCGGGGCUGCGAAAGCACCGUCCUGGGGCGCCCUCAGCGCUGCUUUCCCCUUCCUCCUUUUCAUUGCGAUCCUGACGCCAGCGACGUUCUUUAGCUUCUUGGUAACCGCCAGCUCGAUGGUCAUCCGUCAUUCAUUCGUUCUUUAAACAUUCAUUAAAGUCGCAAAAUUCCAGCUCGAGAUCGCCGCUCGUGGAGGGUUUAACCCACUGCCCGUGGCCUGAAGUUGUAUCCGCGUAAGCGCCGAGGGAGCCGCAGCCCCGGUCACCGGCGCCAGUUGGCAGCAACGCAGUCUUCCUUCCGGAGGGAUGCGGCUGCCUGCCUAGCCCGUCACCUGGACAGGGGUCACCUGGACCAUUUAAUGAGCCCGACAAAAGGGCUCUCUGCUGCGCUGCCAGUUGGUGGGUCUGCUGACCCGUGGAGCUGUAAACGUGACCUCGGGAAGUAGCUCAAGGGAAAUUUGUUGCUCACCAGAAAUAUACGGGCAAACCAUUUCUGCACUGCUAUAGACAGGAUGGAAGACACUUGCUGGAGAGGAGAAAGCCAUUCGAUUUGAGUGAAACCUGUCAACCCCACUGAAGACCAGUUUUAUCUGGACAUUGCAGAGGAUAUCCUAUAUGAAUGGAAGGUCAAAAUGGAAGCCCCUAGGCUUUGUUACGGAAGAGUUCCCCCACCAACUUGCAAUUGAAUCCUGAAAUUCUUUUUUUUUUUUUUUGAUUUUAUUUAUUUAUUCAUGAGAGACACACACACAGAGAGAGAGGCAAAGACCUAGGCAGAGCAAGAAGCAGGCUCUCUGCAGGGAGCCCGAUGUGGGACUCGAUCCGGGGACUCCAGGAUCAUGCCCUGGGCUGAAGGCAGGCGCUAAACUGUUGAACUACCCAGGGAUGCCCGAGUCCUGAAAUUCUUCCACCAGCAAUUCAACUUUCAGGAUAAAAUGCCAUCGCCCUCGUGGCAGAUCUUGUGAGUUCCCCAUUCACCAUCCACUCUUCCUUCUUCUUGCUAGCCUUAGGUUGUCGGAUAAAGCACAGAAGGCCCAGUUAAAUUUGAAUUUCAAAUAAAUAGCAAAUAUUUUUAUUAUAACUAUGUCCCACAUAUUACAUACUUCUACUAAAAAACAAAGUGUUCAUUGUGAGAAAAUCAAAUUUAAUUAGGCAUCUCCGGUAUUUAUUUACUAAGCCUGGCAGCCCCAUGCUGACCAAAUGGAAAUUCUGUCUGCGGCAGCAAUAUGAACAUCUGCAGACAUUAGAUCAUGAAUGGUCUAAAUCAAUCGGGAUUAUACAGUCCCUCACUUUCCCAGGCCUCUUGCAGCUGGGAGUGUCUAUGUGAUCAGUUCUGGCCUCCAAGACAUUAAGGAAAGUCUGAGUAGGUGUGGGGUGCAAUUUAAAUAAAUUUUUUUUUUCUGGUAGGAGACAUGACUAGUGGUGCCAUCUUUGUUCUGUCCUUCCCUUCUGCUCAGAACAUGGAUCUGAUGCUUGGCAGCAGCAGCAGCACCAUCCUGAUGAGAAGGGCAAGCAAAGACAACUGUAGAGACACUGAUGCCGGUGACAUUAAGUCCUCCGUGUCCGGUCAGUGACUGCUACUUCCAGAGGCCUUGCUUGUAAGAAAGACAAGCACUUAAUUCUAUAAAUCACAUGUGUUUCCUAUAACUUACAGGUGGAAAAACCCUCUUAAAGAAUGCAGAUGCCCAAGGAGAGGAAACCUUUCAUGCAUACCUUGUCAUUUAUCGGCAUUGAUGACUGGCUUGCUGAGAGGCAGUUUUCAUUGAGCAAUCAUUGAGAGGAACCAUCGUCUGCCCAGAGAAAGCAGUAGAAGAGAUCCAGAGCUACUACCUCUUAGUGGCACUGAUCCACAGGGCUCUGGGUUGAUUUGGAAUGAGCUGUGACUCCUGAGGAAUUCUCAUAGAUUCCUGCCUGGGUGGGAGUGGGAGGCAGGAUGAUGUCCAUACCCAUGUCCUAAUCCCUGGACCUGUUAAUAUAUCACAUUACAUGGCCAAGGGGAAUUAAGGUAGCAGAGGAAUUAAGGUAGCUAAUUAGCUACCUUGAUGAUAGGGAGAUUAUCCUGAAUUAUCUGGAUGACCCCAAUGACAUCACAGGAUCCUUCAAAGAAAAAAAUGAAGGCAAAAGAGGGAGAUAGAGAAUUGGAAGGAGAUGGGAAGACAGUACCAGGUAGGAAUGAUGUAAGGCUCAACUGACCAUUGCUAGUUUGAAGGUGGAAGAACGGCUCACAGUUAAGGAAUGUGCAUGACCUCCAAAGCUGGAAAAGGCAAGGAAAUGGAUUCUCCCCUCCAGAUGGGAAUGCAGCCCGACCCACAGCUUGUUUUCAGGCCAGUGAGACCCAUGUCAGACUUCUGUCCUGGAGAACUGGAGGCUAAUAAAUUUGUGUUGUUUAAAGUCA
This is a long non-coding RNA of Nyctereutes procyonoides (raccoon dog), 2427 nucleotides long. RefSeq lists it as uncharacterized. Lineage: Eukaryota; Metazoa; Chordata; Mammalia; Carnivora; Canidae. The transcript has 2 exons. The record is from RefSeq and is a predicted model, not a curated record.